This 376-nucleotide long non-coding RNA is filed under the name Capsicum annuum. RNAcentral describes it as "long non-coding RNA (CANN_LNC017408)". Lineage: Eukaryota; Viridiplantae; Streptophyta; Magnoliopsida; Solanales; Solanaceae. The record is from RNAcentral.
CAGUGUAUUCCCACCUAGUAAGGUCUGGGAAGGGUAGAGUGUACGCAGUCCAUACCACUAACUCAGGUAAAGUAGAAAGGUUAUUUCGAUAGACCCCCGGCAUAGAAUCAAUAACAAUAUAACAGUAACAAUACAUAAAUGUAUAUAAACUUGUACAGUAUGCAAAAAUAAAGUAACAACGCUAGACACAAGAUAAUACUAAACUAUACAUCUGAAACCAUAGACAGCACAUAACACCUACAAAUAAGAAACUUCAAACACAAAUACAGAAAACUCCCCUGCAGUUACCGACACUCUCCCACACCCUAACCCUCUACCCUAAUCCGCAUCCUCCACACCUUUAUAUCAAGGGUUAUGUCCUCUAUAAAUUAUAACU